Molecule: ribosomal RNA, 1400 nt
Filed under: uncultured bacterium
Lineage: Bacteria
Description: 16S ribosomal RNA
Rfam family: Bacterial small subunit ribosomal RNA
Source: RNAcentral
UAGAGUUUGAUCCUGGCUCAGUAUGAACGCUAGCUACAGGCUUAACACAUGCAAGUCGAGGGGAAACGGCGCGGCAGCUUGCUGCCGCGGCCGCCGACCGGCGAAUGGGUGAGUAACACGUAUCCAACCUGCCCCCAGGCAAGGGAUAAUCCAUAGAAAUGUGGCCUAAUACCUUAUGUGGUCAGAUGAUGGCAUCAGACUUUGACUAAAGACUUGUCGCCUGGGGAUGGGGAUGCGCCUGAUUAGCUUGUUGGCGGGGCAACGGCCCACCAAGGCAACGAUCAGUAGGGGUUCUGAGAGGAAAGUCCCCCACAUUGGAACUGAGACACGGUCCAAACUCCUACGGGAGGCAGCAGUGAGGAAUAUUGGUCAAUGGAGGCAACUCUGAACCAGCCAAGUAGCGUGCAGGACGACGGCCCUAUGGGUUGUAAACUGCUUUUAUAAGGGGAUAAAGGAUGCCACGUGUGGUGUUUUGCAUGUACCUUAUGAAUAAGGACCGGCUAAUUCCGUGCCAGCAGCCGCGGUAAUACGGAAGGUCCGGGCGUUAUCCGGAUUUAUUGGGUUUAAAGGGAGCGCAGGCGGGCGAUUAAGCGUGACGUGAAAUGCAGCGGCUCAACCGUAUGAAGUGCGUCGCGAACUGGUUGCCUUGAGUGAGUUCGACGUGCGCGGAAUUCGUGGUGUAGCGGUGAAAUGCUUAGAUAUCACGAAGAACUCCGAUUGCGAAGGCAGCGCACGAGGCCUUUACUGACGCUAAAGCUCGAAGGUGCGGGUAUCGAACAGGAUUAGAUACCCUGGUAGUCCGCACGGUAAACGAUGGAUGCCCGCUGUUUGCGAUACACUGUGAGCGGCCAAGCGAAAGCGUUAAGCAUCCCACCUGGGGAGUACGCCGGCAACGGUGAAACUCAAAGGAAUUGACGGGGGCCCGCACAAGCGGAGGAACAUGUGGUUUAAUUCGAUGAUACGCGAGGAACCUUACCCGGGCUUGAAUUGCAGCCGAAAGAUCCAGAGAUGGUGAUGUCCUUCGGGACGGCUGUGAAGGUGCUGCAUGGUUGUCGUCAGCUCGUGCCGUGAGGUGUCGGCUCAAGUGCCAUAACGAGCGCAACCCCUCUCCGUAGUUGCCAUCAGGCUAUGCUGGGCACUCUGCGGACACUGCCACCGUAAGGUGCGAGGAAGGUGGGGAUGACGUCAAAUCAGCACGGCCCUUACGUCCGGGGCUACACACGUGUUACAAUGGCCGGUACAGAGCGCCGCGCGCCCGCAAGGUCGCGCCAAUCGCGAAACCCGGCCUCAGUUCGGACUGGGGUCUGCAACCCGACCCCACGAAGCUGGAUUCGCUAGUAAUCGCGCAUCAGCCAUGGCGCGGUGAAUACGUUCCCGGGCCUUGCACUCACCGCCCGUCA